RNAcentral lists this small RNA (2657 nucleotides) under Pongo abelii (Sumatran orangutan). RNAcentral's name for it is "retained intron". Lineage: Eukaryota; Metazoa; Chordata; Mammalia; Primates; Hominidae. The record is from RNAcentral.
UCUUUACAAUGAAUAGAGAGAGGGAGGUGGAGGCGUUGCGCUUGAAAAUCGAAUACCUAGUGACUCACAGGCAGAGGAAACCCAAUGUAUUGACUCGUCAUUUCACUUCUCGGGGAGGCUUCUCUUCAGGCAGCGCCAAGUGGAAAGUGGGUGGUGGGGGGUGUAGUAGGAAGGGCACUGGAAUUAGGAGCUCUAGCUUCUCCACCGAUUAGCUGUGUGACCCUGGGGUAGUCAUGUAAUGGCUUCAAACCUCAGCUUCCUCAUCUGUAAAAUGGGAAAAAAAAAGUGAGCCCAUUUUUACAGGAUUCGAUGAAGCUCGAAUUAGCUAACAUGUAUCACAGCUCUUUCUCAAAAACAAUGUAGACAUGUCAGUUAGGGGUCUACCUUGUAGUCAAGGGUCUUGUCUUUUUUUUUCCUUCGCUUACUACCUGCUCCGUUCACCACCUGACAUUUCCAAGCUCUGCUUCCAUGACAGAGAAACUGCCUGCAGGGUGUCUCUCUUUUCCAAGAGCUACUGACACACACACAAUGCAAAAACGUUUCCUUUUUCUUUUCCUUGCCAUUUGGAUGGGUCAUUUGGGGAUAAUGACCCAUCUUGUAGAAUUGUUAUAGGGAUGAAAUAAAAUGACAAGUGAAAGCCCUUUGGAAAUGAUAUAAACAAUAGUACUAAACACAGUGGCUAAGACUCUGGGUUGAAAGCAGAGUGGCCAUGUUCCUGUGCAGCCUCCAGCUCAUAUGAGCUGUGGGUCAUUGGGUAAGACUUUACCUCAUUGUUUUCAUCUGUAAAAUGGGAAUUAAAACAGCACUCACUUCGUAAGGUUGUUGUGUGAAAAUCAAAUGAAAACUGUGUGUAGAACACUUUAUACAGUAUCUGGACCGUAGUGUUCAAUGUUAGUCAUUAUUAUUAGUUUUUGCUUAUGUAGUGCCAGUAUGGGUUGUAGAGGGCUUUUACAUCAAAAUGGCACAUUUGAUCAUAAUAGCCCCAUGAUUUAUAAAUUAUCAUCUCCAUUUUACAGACAAGGAAACUUCAGGCUCAGUCACUGAACUAAGUCAAAAGCCAGGAUUUAUCUUUUGGCUUCUAAACUCAGUUCUUUCUACUCCACCACAUGGCCUUCAUCAUGAAUAAAUUAUUGCAUCAUUAUCCCCAAGAAACUGCCUACCAGCUGUUUGAGUUAGGUCUCUGGAUUGGUCAUCGCCUUUCCUAGAGCUCAGGAGGUCAAGUUCUUUUUUUAGGGGGCGCUUACCUUCCCACUUUCCUUUGUAACCAACAACAACCUUCCCUUCUAGCGGAUAUGUUUUCCCAUGAGGAGAAUGGCCCUGAGCCAGACUGGGUUUUAUCAGAACGGGAGCAGUUUAAUGAAUUCCGGGAUCUGAACAAGGACGGGAAGUUGGACAAAGAUGAGAUUCGCCACUGGAUCCUCCCUCAAGAUUACGAUCAUGCACAGGCUGAGGCCAGGCAUCUGGUAUAUGAGUCAGACAAAAACAAGGAUGAGAAGCUAACUAAAGAGGAAAUAUUGGAGAACUGGAACAUGUUUGUUGGAAGCCAAGCUACCAAUUAUGGGGAAGAUCUCACAAAAAAUCAUGAUGAGCUUUGAUAGACACUCACCAGAAUAUGGCAGACUGUCAUAGGCAUUCUGUUAUUGUCUUGGAAUGUUGCUACAAUUGUCUAAUUUACAGCAGUUGUGAUCCCACAAAAAGCAAGUUUAUACCUCGGAUUGGGGUAUAAAAAUUGUUUUUUGCUCAGUAUUUACUGGAAAAUGGAUAUCACUAGUCUUUCAGUAAGAUUUCUCUCAAAACAGAUGAAAACCUUGGUAAAUUGCAGUUCUCUCUGGGGAUAUAUUGGUACAACAUGACUUAAAACUUUUUUUUUUUUCUGUUAAAACUUAAAGGGGAACCAAACUUGAAAACGCCCUGUUCUUCAGAAGUUGAGUGGGUUGAGGGAGGCAGUAAAUAUGAAGUGACUGCUAUGUAUUUUAACUACCAGAUUUUUUAUAUUUGCCACUGUUAAAUAGUUGGAAAGGGGAAAUUCUGAUUGAGCAAAAGUGGUAUCAUCCUAGGUAAGCUUAUUUCAGAACAAGUCUAAUAUUUCAGAUUCUUUCUUUUCGACUUUGUACUCUGAGUUGUUACUUACUGUAAGUGGUGUAUAUGAAACCUCCAUGCAUUUUCCAGUAUGGAUCUGCUAAUAUGCACAGUAAAUCCAUGUCUUUGUUUGUUUUUCUAUUAAAAAGCAAUCAAGAAAGAUAAUGUGAAAAAGAAAGGAAUUUAGAGGUAGGGAAAAGAUGAAUGUCAGACAUUUGAAGAACUAUAGUAAAAUGAUAAACACUAAAUAUACUUGAGAAAACUUUCUUAAUAUGCCAUUGAGGUAGGCCUGGUCUUUGAAAUAGUGAAUAGGAAUACAAUGCAUCUCCUCAAUGAUCACUGAUUAGAAUGAGGUGGUGGGAUCCUUGGAAAGCCAAAUGGAGCAGAGUUCUGGAUCAUGUCCUAUCCAGUCCAGUGAAACCACGACCCUCAGACCUGUCCCCCCGGAAUAGCUUAUACCAUGGAAUGAGGACAAGGUGAUACUCUGAGCUGUGGACUGAACUGGCAGACACAACCUGUACAGAUUGAAAUUUCACCUUGUAAGGAGGAAGUGAAUGAAAUAAAGGAUCCCCCUAAGG